Molecule: ribosomal RNA, 159 nt
Filed under: Alternaria alternata
Lineage: Eukaryota; Fungi; Ascomycota; Dothideomycetes; Pleosporales; Pleosporaceae
Description: 5.8S ribosomal RNA
Source: RNAcentral
AAUGACGCUCGAACAGGCAUGCCCUUUGGAAUACCAAAGGGCGCAAUGUGCGUUCAAAGAUUCGAUGAUUCACUGAAUUCUGCAAUUCACACUACUUAUCGCAUUUCGCUGCGUUCUUCAUCGAUGCCAGAACCAAGAGAUCCGUUGUUGAAAGUUGUA